RNAcentral lists this ribosomal RNA (98 nucleotides) under Nitrosospira sp. Its description in RNAcentral is "partial 16S ribosomal RNA". It matches the Rfam family "Bacterial small subunit ribosomal RNA", at positions 1 to 97 of the family's 1533-position model. Lineage: Bacteria; Pseudomonadati; Pseudomonadota; Betaproteobacteria; Nitrosomonadales; Nitrosomonadaceae. The record is from RNAcentral.
AAACUGAAGAGUUUGAUCCUGGCUCAGAUUGAACGCUGGCGGCAUGCUUUACACAUGCAAGUCGAACGGCAGCACGGGGGCAACCCUGGUGGCGAGUG